This 84-nucleotide transfer RNA is filed under the name Roseospira marina. Its description in RNAcentral is "tRNA-Leu". It matches the Rfam family "tRNA". Rfam says of the family: Transfer RNA (tRNA) molecules are approximately 80 nucleotides in length. Their secondary structure includes four short double-helical elements and three loops (D, anti-codon, and T loops). Lineage: Bacteria; Pseudomonadati; Pseudomonadota; Alphaproteobacteria; Rhodospirillales; Rhodospirillaceae. The record is from RNAcentral.
GCGGGCGUGGCGGAAGUGGUAGACGCUGGCGACUUAAAAUCGCUUGGUAUAUCCGUGCCGGUUCGAGUCCGGCCGCCCGCACCA